GUAGGUGGCAAGCGUUGUCCGGAAUUAUUGGGCGUAAAGCGCGCGCAGGCGGUCCUUUAAGUCUGAUGUGAAGCCCACGGCUCAACCGUGGAGGGUCAUUGGAAACUGGGGGACUUGAGUACAGAAGAGGAAAGCGGAAUUCCAAGUGUAGCGGUGAAAUGCGUAGAGAUUUGGAGGAACACCAGUGGCGAAGGCGGCUUUCUGGUCUGUAACUGACGCUGAGGCGCGAAAGCGUGGGGAGCAAACAGGAUUAGAUACCCUGGUAGUCCACGCCGUAAACGAUGAGUGCUAAGUGUUAGGGGGUUUCCCGCCCCCCUUAGUGCUGCAGCUAACGCAUUAAGCACUCCGCCUGGGGAGUACGGCCGCAAGGCUG
Molecule: ribosomal RNA, 373 nt
Filed under: uncultured organism
Description: partial 16S ribosomal RNA
Rfam family: Bacterial small subunit ribosomal RNA
Source: RNAcentral